GAGCGAACAGGAUUAGAUACCCUGGUAGUCCACGCCGUAAACGAUGAUUACUCGGUAUUGGCUCCGGUCAGUGCCCAAGCGAAAGUGAUAAGUAAUCCACCUGGGGAGUACGCCCGCAAGGGUGAAACUCAAAGGAAUUGACGGGGGCCCGCACAAGCGGUGGAGCAUGUGGUUUAAUUCGAUGAUACGCGAGGAACCUUACCAGGGUUUAGAUGCAGAACGACAGGGGUGGAAACACCCCCUUCUUCGGACGGACUGCAAGGUGCUGCAUGGUUGUCGUCAGCUCGUGCUGUGAAGUGUCGGGUUAAGUCCCAUAACGAGCGCAACCCCCAUUUCUAGUUGCCAGCGGUUCGGCCGGGGACUCUAGAGAAACUGCCAGCGUAAGCUGUGAGGAAGGUGGGGAUGACGUCAAAUCAUCACGGCCCUUACAUCCUGGGCCACACACGUGCUACAAUGGUGGGGACAACAGGUUGCCAACCCGCGAGGGUGAGCCAAUCCCAAAACCCCAUCUCAGUUCGGAUCGGAGUCUGCAACUCGACUCCGUGAAGUUGGAAUCGCUAGUAAUCGCGGAUCAGCCAUGCCGCGGUGAAUACGUUCCCGGGCCUUGUACACAC
Molecule: ribosomal RNA, 614 nt
Filed under: uncultured marine bacterium
Lineage: Bacteria
Description: bacterial SSU rRNA
Rfam family: Bacterial small subunit ribosomal RNA
Source: RNAcentral